AUACGUAGGUGGCAAGCGUUGUCCGGAUUUACUGGGUGUAAAGGGCGUGCAGCCGGGACGGCAAGUCAGAUGUGAAAUCCAUGGGCUUAACCCAUGAACUGCAUUUGAAACUGUCGUUCUUGAGUACCGGAGGGGCAAUCGGAAUUCCUAGUGUAGCGGUGAAAUGCGUAGAUAUUAGGAGGAACACCAGUGGCGAAGGCGGAUUGCUGGACGGCAACUGACGGUGAGGCGCGAAAGUGUGGAGAGCAAACAGGAUUAGAUACCCUGGUAGUCCACACUGUAAACGAUGGAUACUAGGUGUGCGGGGACUGACCCCCUGCGUGCCGGCGUUAACACAAUAAGUAUCCCACCUGGGGAGUACGAUCGCAAGGUUGAAACUCAAAUGAAUUGACGGGG
Molecule: ribosomal RNA, 396 nt
Filed under: uncultured bacterium
Lineage: Bacteria
Description: partial 16S ribosomal RNA
Rfam family: Bacterial small subunit ribosomal RNA
Source: RNAcentral